This is a long non-coding RNA of Vitis riparia (riverbank grape), 2669 nucleotides long. RefSeq lists it as uncharacterized. The record is from RefSeq and is a predicted model, not a curated record. NCBI's taxonomy places the organism in Eukaryota, Viridiplantae, Streptophyta, Magnoliopsida, Vitales, Vitaceae. The transcript has 2 exons.
GAGUCCCACAUCGGCAAGAGUCAGAGUAAUAAGGUGAUAGAGUGCUAUAAAUCAAACGAGACGGUUCACCAUCAACAUACUUACCUGGACGGGGUCUAUGGCCGAUCAAGAAGAGCCAUGGCCUAGGACAGUGACCUCCAUUGCACUUGGGAGGGGCACUGCCCUAAGAUCUGCCCAAGUGGCAGAGUCUACGUCAUAAUUUGUGGUAGAGGGGGUUCGCGUUCGCGCGACCCCUGCCCCAAUUCAGCUCUCAAAGUUUUAUCUGCGUUGUUGAUUUUUUACGUAAGAUUUAUUCUGCUUGUUUUACUUUGCCUUGGCUUGUAGGUCUGUAAUUAUCAUCAGGUAUAUCAAUAGCGGCAAUCUUAAAUUGAGGUGAAAAUGUGAAAUGAAGGAUAUUGUGGUUAAUUUGAGGUUCGAUUUUGGUUUUAAGGUCUGUGUCAAGGAUGUUUCUGUAUGCAUGUCACAUGUUUGACAAAUGGUUUGACAGAGACAUGUAGUGACAUGUUUAAUUUUAGGCACUCGAACGUUAUCAUGACUGAACUCUUCAAUCAUGGCUCCCUUAAUUCAGUUUCUGUUCUCAAUUUGGGUGCUGUCUGAUUUUGAUUUUUAUGAUGCAAUUACCCAUGUGUUGUUGCAAGUGGGUGGUGUUGGGAUGACUCAAUUUGAUACUGAUGAAGGCUUUGAUAUUUAAUAUUCAUGAUAGAUUCAACAGACUACUUCUGUGCUGUAAUGUUGUCCGGUGCGGCUGGAGUAAACCUGUUGCUUCAUUUUGUGCUGUCUUUACCCUUUUGCGGAAGAAGUUUUCCAAGGGCACUGUCAGCUUCUUCACUUUUCAUGAGCUCUUCUGCAAUCGCUGUUGGGGUCAACUGUCAAUAACAAAUAAGAAACAGUUUAUGAAGAGGAAAAAACGGGUAUGUCUACUAAUAUUUAUGUUCUUCCACCAAAUUAUGCACUUGUACUCUGUUCUUGUUAGGUAGGGAUUAUUAGUUUUUCAGAAGUGGGAAUUUAGAGGAAGAAGAAAAACAUCAUUAUUGCAAUAAUAUAAUAAAAAUUUAGGGCUUCAUGAAUGUGAAUCCUUAUAAACUCACCUGGCUGUCAUUUAGAUUAUGCUCUUCAGCUUGUUGGCCCUGCAGUUCACUGCUGCAGUCAAUAUCUUCAAUCUCAAGUAUUGAUUGGUUCCUGUUCUUGAGUUGCAAUGGAGACUGCUGAGUCUAAGUUGCAGAUGUGAAAUUUCAAGUCGUAGUUGGCCAUGGCUGCAAUCAAGCUCGACUUUCCAGUGACUGGAGGUAGCACAAAUAUCCUCAUUUCCAUGCCCUUCCAACUCUUUUAUAGUACUUCUUUCUUUUGACAAAUUGAUCUAAGUCAUUUACCAAGUCCUGCUUGAGCUUUGAAUCCAUUGCUGGUGUUUCAAAAGUUGAUGAAUGGUUGAGGUUGGUUGAUUCCCAUGACCCACAGUAUGAAUAGAGCUUCAACACCUUGUUUUCUUCUAUGAAGGAUUCUGAUCUCUCUACCACAUAUGGCAAGUUGGAGCUCGGUAUCUUUUUCAUGUUUUUCUUAGGGAAACUAAGCUCUAUUGAUCUUGGUUCAUAAUCUAUGCCUUCAUUGGACUGCUUCUUGGUAUAAACCAUGUCCCAUUUGACCUGAAUUCCUUCAAAUAGGUCAAUAGCCUUUUCACCUUCACCAAUGGUGAUUGAAAGGUUCUUACCUUAUGGAGCUUUCGAUCUGCAGUUACUCAACUAUUGACUGGACAGCUUUGGUUCAUAAGGGUGUCUAACCAGAUGUGCAGUAUACAUACACAGCUUUGACCACAACUGGAAGAGUCUUCGCCUUCUUAGCACCUUGGGUGAUGUAGCAUUUGUUGAUGCUGGUCACAAUGUGGUGUUGGAGAUCCCAAGCAACAAUUCCUUCCACCCCUCAGAAGCCUUUGAAGGGACCCAUGUGGAAAGGGGUGAUUUUUGCUUAUGUUGUUGUUGCCUUGUGCUACUUCCCUGUUGCUCUGAUUGGAUACUGAAUGUUUGGGUACAGCGUUGCUGAUAAUAUCCUCAUCACACUGGAGAAACCAUGUUGGCUAAUAGUAGCAGCCAACAUGUUUGUUACCGUCCAUGUUAUUGGAAGCUACCACGUGCAAUUGAAAAUUCAACUUCUGCAAAUACUAUGUUUGAUUUCACUUGAUCUUCCAUUUCCUCGUUAAGUUUGCAGAAACUGCAGAUAUAUGCAACGCCAGUGUUUGACAUGUUGGAAACAUUGUUGGUGAAGAAACUGAAUUUCAGGCCAUGUUUCAGGCUUCGUCUUAUUACCCACACUCUAUAUGUUGGUGAAUGGUUGAUGCUCUUCUUUCUUUGGACGAGUUAUGACAAAGCUUCAUCAGCCUAUUUGCACGUUCUUACAUAUCUUCGUUGACUGCAGCUUUUAGUAUGGAUUCAUGAACUAAAAAUAUGUGGUUGAGAACAGAGAUUACAAUUCAUAUUCAUAGGUGGUUUUAAAUAUAACAUAAAUAAGAAGCAAAAUAUUACUUAGGAAAAUAGAAUGAGAUGGAUUGUUGGAUGUAAGGGAUUGUGACUUUGUUGGCCUUUUGGUGUUGUUUCUCACAGGCUAGUUUCUAUUUAGUGACUCAGUACAUUUGCGCAAUCGAUUCAUGUUGAUAUAAUCUUAUUUUAAGUUCAUCAACA